UACGAAGGGGGCGAGCGUUGUUCGGAUUCACUGGGCGUAAAGGGUGCGUAGGUGGUGAGGCAAGUCGGAUGUGAAAUCUCCGAGCUCAACUCGGAAAUGGCAUUGGAAACUACCUUGCUCGAGGGUUGGAGGGGGGACUGGAAUGCUUGGUGUAGCAGUGAAAUGCGUAGAUAUCAAGCGGAACACCAGUGGCGAAGGCGAGUCCCUGGACAACUCCUGACACUGAGGCACGAAAGCUAGGGGAGCAAACAGG
Molecule: ribosomal RNA, 253 nt
Filed under: uncultured bacterium
Lineage: Bacteria
Description: partial 16S ribosomal RNA
Rfam family: Bacterial small subunit ribosomal RNA
Source: RNAcentral